RNAcentral lists this transfer RNA (62 nucleotides) under Cricetulus griseus (Chinese hamster). It matches the Rfam family "tRNA", at positions 6 to 65 of the family's 71-position model. From Rfam's summary of the family: Transfer RNA (tRNA) molecules are approximately 80 nucleotides in length. Their secondary structure includes four short double-helical elements and three loops (D, anti-codon, and T loops). The record is from Rfam by way of RNAcentral. Lineage: Eukaryota; Metazoa; Chordata; Mammalia; Rodentia; Cricetidae.
UGCAACUCAGUUGGCAGAGUGCCUGCUUCACAUGCAGGAAGCCCUGGGUUCUAUCCCCAGCA